Molecule: ribosomal RNA, 401 nt
Filed under: uncultured bacterium
Lineage: Bacteria
Description: partial 16S ribosomal RNA
Rfam family: Archaeal small subunit ribosomal RNA
Source: RNAcentral
AUACCGGCUGCUCGAGUGAUGGCCACUAUUACUGGGUUUAAAGCGUCCGUAGCUUGACUGUUAGGUCUCUUGGGAAAUCUUUUGGCUUGACCAAAAGGCGUCUAAGAGAUACCGGCAUUCUUGGAACUGGGAGAGGUAAGCCGUACUUCGGGGGUAGGAGUGAAAUCUUGUAAUCCUCGAGGGACGACCUAUGGCGAAGGCAGCUUACCAGAACAGCUUCGACAGUGAGGGACGAAAGCUGGGGGAGCAAACGGGAUUAGAUACCCCGGUAGUCCCAGCCGUAAACAAUGUGCGUUAGGUGUGUCGGUUACCACGCGUAACUGAUGCGCCGAAGAGAAAUCGUGAAACGCACCACCUGGGAAGUACGGUCGCAAGGCUGAAACUUAAAGGAAUUGGCGGGG